RNAcentral lists this ribosomal RNA (410 nucleotides) under uncultured Sebacinales. Its description in RNAcentral is "partial 18S ribosomal RNA". The stretch from base 39 to 324 matches the Rfam family "Group I catalytic intron". Rfam says of the family: Group I catalytic introns are large self-splicing ribozymes. Lineage: Eukaryota; Fungi; Basidiomycota; Agaricomycetes; Sebacinales. The record is from RNAcentral.
UCCUUCCGCAGAGUACACUUGCAGAAGCCUUAGUGGCCUGAAAGGGUUUCAUCAGCGACUCUAAACAAGUAGGUGGAUUAAACGCUAGUCUCUUUCAAAGAGGCGACACUAUCAAAUUGCGGGAAGAUCCUGUCAGGUCCACAUCACCGCGGCUCACCGAAAGGUGUAGUGCAGCACCAGGCUAACAACCUUGGGUAUGGUAAUAGUAUGUGGAAUAGGGAGAAUCUGCAGCCAAGCCCCUCUCCUGGGGUGCAGUUCACAGGCCAAAUGGUAGUGGGCACUCUGGUGCUUAAGAUAUGGUCGAGUCCCAAUUGAAAAAUUGGGUACAAGUACUCUGAUUGAUCACAUACAGCCUAUGCUCAGUCAAAUACAGCUAGUUGUAAAUGCAAAUGUUCCGUAGGUGAACCUGC